ACACCUCAACUCUCAUGGCUUGCCGUGAUGAGCUUGGACUCUGGGGGACUUGCUGGCCUAUGGUCGGCUCCUCUCAAAUGGAUCAGCUUGCCAGUGUUUGGUGGCAUCACAGGUGUGAUAACUAUCUGCGCUUGUGGUUUUCCAUCAGAUAGCCUUCAGUGAUGGAGGUUCGCUGGAGCUCAUAAAUGUCCCUCCUAAGUGAGGACAGCCCCUUGAAC
Molecule: unclassified non-coding RNA, 218 nt
Filed under: uncultured Tomentella
Lineage: Eukaryota; Fungi; Basidiomycota; Agaricomycetes; Thelephorales; Thelephoraceae
Description: sequence contains ITS2
Source: RNAcentral